CUCUUCUUGUUUAAAUAUGAAGUAUAACCUGCCCAAUGAUUAUUUUAAUGGCCGCGGUAUAUUGACCGUGCAAAGGUAGCAUAAUCAUUAGUCUUUUAAUUGAAGGCUGGUAUGAAUGGUUGGACGAGACAAUAACUGUCUUAAUUUAAUUAUAUUAGAAUUUAAUUUUUAGGUUAAAAAGCUUAAAUAAUUUUUUGGGACGAGAAGACCCUAUAGAGUUUAUAUAUAAAUUAUAGUGAGUAUAUGUGUGUAAAAUGAUUUAUUAUAAUAAUAUUUUGUUGGGGUGAUGGAAAGAUACAAGUAACUCUUUUUAUUGAUUAUUAAAUAUUUAUAUAUUAUUGAUCCAUUAUUAGUGAUUAAAAGACUAAAUUACC
Molecule: ribosomal RNA, 374 nt
Filed under: cf. Rhabdoblatta sp. MNHN BL7
Lineage: Eukaryota; Metazoa; Arthropoda; Insecta; Blattodea; Blaberidae
Description: partial 16S ribosomal RNA
Source: RNAcentral